Molecule: transfer RNA, 72 nt
Filed under: Cricetulus griseus (Chinese hamster)
Lineage: Eukaryota; Metazoa; Chordata; Mammalia; Rodentia; Cricetidae
Rfam family: tRNA
About the family: Transfer RNA (tRNA) molecules are approximately 80 nucleotides in length. Their secondary structure includes four short double-helical elements and three loops (D, anti-codon, and T loops). Further hydrogen bonds mediate the characteristic L-shaped molecular structure. tRNAs have two regions of fundamental functional importance: the anti-codon, which is responsible for specific mRNA codon recognition, and the 3' end, to which the tRNAs corresponding amino acid is attached (by aminoacyl-tRNA synthetases). tRNAs cope with the degeneracy of the genetic code in two manners: having more than one tRNA (with a specific anti-codon) for a particular amino acid; and 'wobble' base-pairing, i.e. permitting non-standard base-pairing at the 3rd anti-codon position.
Source: Rfam by way of RNAcentral
GAGGAUGUAUCUCGGUUGGUAGAGUGCUUGCCUAGUAUGCACGAGGCCCUGGGUUUGAUCCCCAGCACCUCA